CACAUGCAAGUCGAACGCUGAAGCUUGGUGCUUGCACUGGGUGGAUGAGUGGCGAACGGGUGAGUAAUACGUGAGUAACCUGCCCUUGACUCUGGGAUAAGCCUGGGAAACUGGGUCUAAUACUGGAUACGACGGCGCAUCGCAUGGUGUGUUGUGGAAAGGGUUUUACUGGUUUUGGAUGGGCUCACGGCCUAUCAGCUUGUUGGUGGGGUAAUGGCUCACCAAGGCGACGACGGGUAGCCGGCCUGAGAGGGUGACCGGCCACACUGGGACUGAGACACGGCCCAGACUCCUACGGGAGGCAGCAGUGGGGAAUAUUGCACAAUGGGCGGAAGCCUGAUGCAGCGACGCCGCGUGAGGGAUGACGGCCUUCGGGUUGUAAACCUCUUUCAGCACGGAAGAAGCGAGAGUGACGGUACGUGCAGAAGAAGCGCCGGCUAACUACGUGCCAGCAGCCGCGGUAAUACGUAGGGCGCAAGCGUUGUCCGGAAUUAUUGGGCGUAAAGAGCUCGUAGGCGGUUUGUCGCGUCUGCUGUGAAAGCCCGGGGCUUAACCCGGGUGUGCAGUGGGUAC
Molecule: ribosomal RNA, 573 nt
Filed under: Kocuria rhizophila
Lineage: Bacteria; Bacillati; Actinomycetota; Actinomycetes; Micrococcales; Micrococcaceae
Description: bacterial SSU rRNA
Rfam family: Bacterial small subunit ribosomal RNA
Source: RNAcentral